Molecule: ribosomal RNA, 465 nt
Filed under: Vreelandella stevensii
Lineage: Bacteria; Pseudomonadati; Pseudomonadota; Gammaproteobacteria; Oceanospirillales; Halomonadaceae
Description: partial 16S ribosomal RNA
Rfam family: Bacterial small subunit ribosomal RNA
Source: RNAcentral
CCUACGGGUGGCUGCAGUGGGGAAUAUUGGACAAUGGGGGCAACCCUGAUCCAGCCAUGCCGCGUGUGUGAAGAAGGCCCUCGGGUUGUAAAGCACUUUCAGUGAGGAAGAACGCCUGGUGGUUAAUACCCAUCAGGAAAGACAUCACUCACAGAAGAAGCACCGGCUAACUCCGUGCCAGCAGCCGCGGUAAUACGGAGGGUGCGAGCGUUAAUCGGAAUUACUGGGCGUAAAGCGCGCGUAGGUGGCUUGAUAAGCCGGUUGUGAAAGCCCCGGGCUCAACCUGGGAACGGCAUCCGGAACUGUCAAGCUAGAGUGCAGGAGAGGAAGGUAGAAUUCCCGGUGUAGCGGUGAAAUGCGUAGAGAUAGGGAGGAAUACCAGUGGCGAAGGCGGCCUUCUGGACUGACACUGACACUGAGGUGCGAAAGCGUGGGUAGCAAACAGGAUUAGAUACCCGUGUAGUC